This 85-nucleotide transfer RNA is filed under the name Vibrio parahaemolyticus. RNAcentral's name for it is "tRNA-Leu". It matches the Rfam family "tRNA". Rfam says of the family: Transfer RNA (tRNA) molecules are approximately 80 nucleotides in length. The record is from RNAcentral. Lineage: Bacteria; Pseudomonadati; Pseudomonadota; Gammaproteobacteria; Vibrionales; Vibrionaceae.
GCGGAAAUGGCGGAAUUGGUAGACGCCCCAGAUUUAGGUUCUGGCGCCGCAAGGUGUGAGAGUUCAAGUCUCUCCUUCCGCACCA